This 237-nucleotide long non-coding RNA is filed under the name Glycine max (soybean). Its description in RNAcentral is "long non-coding RNA (GMAX_LNC004711)". The record is from RNAcentral. Lineage: Eukaryota; Viridiplantae; Streptophyta; Magnoliopsida; Fabales; Fabaceae.
UAAUGGACUGUGCACAGUUAAAUUUAUCACACUAGAAGGGCCAAGGAUUUCCCUCCAAAUAAUCAACUAUAACCUAUCCCACUUUCUACUUGUCCUAUAGAUAUACAUAAAGAUUGCAAUUUGCAAACAACUCAAAGCAAUCUUCAAUGAAGGAAUUGAAGAAGAUUUAGCUUGUAAAGACUAUUUCAAAACGUGUGAAAUCAGCUAGUGAGAUCUUCUAAGUAUGUAUCAAGUCCC